UCCCUAGUGGCUCAGAUGGUAAGGCGUCUGCUUACAAUGCAGGACACCUGGGUUUGAUCCCUAGGUCGGGAA
This is a transfer RNA of Ovis aries (sheep), 72 nucleotides long. It matches the Rfam family "tRNA". From Rfam's summary of the family: Transfer RNA (tRNA) molecules are approximately 80 nucleotides in length. Lineage: Eukaryota; Metazoa; Chordata; Mammalia; Artiodactyla; Bovidae. The record is from Rfam.